UACGUAGGGCGCAAGCGUUGUCCGGAAUUAUUGGGCGUAAAGAGCUCGUAGGCGGCUUGGCAAGUCGGGUGUGAAAACUCCAGGCUCAACCUGGAGACGCCACCCGAUACUGCCAUGGCUUGAGUCCGGUAGGGGACCACGGAAUUCCUGGUGUAGCGGUGAAAUGCGCAGAUAUCAGGAGGAACACCGGUGGCGAAGGCGGUGGUCUGGGCCGGUACUGACGCUGAGGAGCGAAAGCGUGGGGAGCGAACAGG
This 254-nucleotide ribosomal RNA is filed under the name uncultured bacterium. Its description in RNAcentral is "partial 16S ribosomal RNA". It matches the Rfam family "Bacterial small subunit ribosomal RNA", at positions 524 to 776 of the family's 1533-position model. The record is from RNAcentral.